RNAcentral lists this ribosomal RNA (497 nucleotides) under uncultured bacterium. RNAcentral describes it as "partial 16S ribosomal RNA". It matches the Rfam family "Bacterial small subunit ribosomal RNA", at positions 28 to 507 of the family's 1533-position model. The record is from RNAcentral.
GAUGAACGCUGGCGGCGUGCCUAAUACAUGCAAGUCGAGCGAACGGACGAGAAGCUUGCUUCUCUGAUGUUAGCGGCGGACGGGUGAGUAACACGUGGAUAACCUACUUAUAAGACUGGGAUCACUUCGGGAAACCGGAGAUAAUACCGGAUAAUAUUUUGAACCGUAUGGUGCAAUAGUGAAAGACGGUCUUGCUGUCACUUAUAGAUGGAUCCGCGCUGCAUUAGCUAGUUGGUAAGGUAACGGCUUACCAAGGCAACGAUGCAUAGCCGACCUGAGAGGGUGAUCGCCCACACUGGAGCUGAGACACGGUCCAUACGCCUACGAGAGGCAGCAGUAGGGAAUCUGCCGCAAUAGUCGAAAGCCUGACGGAGCAACGCCGCGUGAGUGAUGAAGGUCUUCGGAUCGUAAAACUCUGUUAUUAGUGAAGAACAUAUGUGUAAGUAACUGUGCACAUCUUGACGGUACCUAAUCAGAAAGCCACGGCUAACUACGUG